Molecule: long non-coding RNA, 1021 nt
Filed under: Anolis carolinensis (green anole)
Lineage: Eukaryota; Metazoa; Chordata; Lepidosauria; Squamata; Anolidae
Description: lncRNA (ENSACAG00000044814.1)
Source: RNAcentral
AUGGAGUUGAUGAUUCUUAAGCUACAAUUAUAUUGUAAACUGCUAUGCCUUAUUUAUUCAGUGGGAGAUUACUUUUUGUCCAUCUUUUUAUUGCCAUUAUUUAUCAUCAAGUACCAUGGGAUGGCUAUUUUAAGAGUGGAGGAGGACAACCCUUUGCAGAACAAGAAUGAGAUGGCAACCCUGUCAGGAAUUAAUCAAAAGGAAGUGAAGAAAAAUGGGGUUUCUCUCAAGAAAAUGGAAGUUCCACAAGCAGAUUCCAGCAUUCCGGUCCAGAGACUUUCCUUUCCAAAUAUAUGCACACCAGAUUUGAAAGGUCUCUUGCAUUUUGAAGAAAACACCCAGAAGAUGUAUCAAUGUGAUGGUAGUUCUUGGGCCUUAUGGAGUUAUGCAAACAAGGUGACAAUCUGCUCUUCUUUGAGCAUGGGUAUUUAAAAUGUCUUCAAAAAACCAAUGUGGUAGAUGUUUGUUUUCAAACGUGUCAGUUUCUAACAAAGGUCUACACCUUUGCUAAAAACUGACAGGUUUGAAACUGUUGGAUUAUACAGGCAGACAGAAUGUUGAGACAUAAACUGACUUAAUGGCUCUGUUUGGUCAUAGUUCAGCCAUCCAUCUGUCUCAUUCUGGUUCUCUGGCACUGCCUCCAGAGAAGAAUUACUUGUUUUAAUUACUUGAAUUAAUUAUACUUUGGUAGAGUUACUUGCUACCUAGAAUGCAUUGUUCAACAGUAUUAUUUGUUUAGCACAGCAAAGAGAAAGGUGGAAAAUGGACUGAUCACUAGGCUUGUGCAUUUCGGGUGAAUUGCUAUCAAUUUCUGCUUGUCUGAUACCAGAAGCCCCCCUCCCAUAUUUGUUUUUCAGCCUCUCCCUAAAGCGGGCAUGUUGCCGAAUGGGCGUUUUCAUUUUGCAUCUGGAAAAAAAUGGUUCUUUUCGGCCCAUUGGCAGCAAUUGAGAACUUCCCUUUUCCCUUGGAGCCUUUCCUUUCUUCCCUUCAAGGGAUCCUGGGUGUCAGCCACCGGGGUUUA